Molecule: ribosomal RNA, 480 nt
Filed under: uncultured bacterium
Lineage: Bacteria
Description: bacterial LSU rRNA
Rfam family: Bacterial large subunit ribosomal RNA
Source: RNAcentral
CCUGGCCGCAGAGGGUGCCAGCCCCGUACCUGGAAGCUUGCCGUCUUCCGAUCAUGUGUCCCAAGUAGCGCGGGCCUCGUGGAAUCCCGUGUGAAUCGGCCCCGACCGUGGGGUAAGUCUAAGCAUACCUGUCUGACCGAUAGCGUACCAGUACCGUGAGGGAAAGGUGAAAAGCACCCCGGGAGGGGAGUGAAAGAGUUCCUGAAACCGUGCGCCUACAAUCCGUCGGAGCCUCCUUGUGGGGUGACGGCGUGCCUAUCGAAAAAUGAGUCUGCGAGUCAGUGGUGCGUGGCGAGGCUAACCCGUGGUGGGGGAGCCGUAGCGAAGGCGAGUCUCAAAAGGCGUUUUGAGUCGCGCGCCCUGGACCCGAAGCGGGAUGAUCUAGCCCUGGGCAGGUUGAAGCGCGGGUAAGACCGCGUGGAGGACCGAACCCACCUGGGUUGAAAACCGGGGGGAUGACCUGGGGCUAGGGGUGAAAGG